This 355-nucleotide unclassified non-coding RNA is filed under the name Hevea brasiliensis (rubber tree). Lineage: Eukaryota; Viridiplantae; Streptophyta; Magnoliopsida; Malpighiales; Euphorbiaceae. The record is from RNAcentral.
UAGGAAAAGAAGUUACACUGCUCUGCACAUUAUCUGAACCUGGUUUCAAUUGCGAUGUUGACAUGGAACCAUUCAUUGGUUUCGGAGAACGACCACCCGGUUGCACUGUUGCAUGCAUUUCUACUCGCGUCUUAUUUAAUAAUUGACCUACUUCUUCUUGUAACUCUUUGAUGUAAUCUUGAUCAGUUAACCACCAUAAACACUCGUUUGAAAUAUCAUAAACACGCCGGCAGAUAAAUGAGGAUAUCCCUGUUGGAAGUUCAGCUCCUUUAGAAAGGAAUGCAACUUUACACGGAUGCAGUAGUGAUGCAGCAGGUGUCUCAUCCCUAUGAAAGGAAUAAAAGAUUUCGUUGGG